RNAcentral lists this ribosomal RNA (2113 nucleotides) under Escherichia coli. RNAcentral's name for it is "partial 23S ribosomal RNA". It matches the Rfam family "Bacterial large subunit ribosomal RNA", at positions 1 to 2115 of the family's 2925-position model. Lineage: Bacteria; Pseudomonadati; Pseudomonadota; Gammaproteobacteria; Enterobacterales; Enterobacteriaceae. The record is from RNAcentral.
GGUUAAGUUAGAAAGGGCGCACGGUGGAUGCCUUGACACUAGGAGUCGAUGAAGGACGGGACUAACGCCGAUAUGCUUCGGGGAGCUGUAAGUAAGCUUUGAUCCGAAGAUUUCCGAAUGGGGAAACCCACCAUACGUAAUGGUAUGGUAUCCUUAUCUGAAUACAUAGGGUAAGGAAGACAGACCCAGGGAACUGAAACAUCUAAGUACCUGGAGGAAGAGAAAGCAAAUGCGAUUUCCUGAGUAGCGGCGAGCGAAACGGAACAUAGCCCAAACCAAGAGGCUUGCCUCUUGGGGUUGUAGGACAUUCUAUACGGAGUUACAAAGGAACGAGGUAGACGAAGCGACCUGGAAAGGUCCGUCGUAGAGGGUAACAACCCCGUAGUCGAAACUUCGUUCUCUCUUGAAUGUAUCCUGAGUACGGCGGAACACGUGAAAUUCCGUCGGAAUCUGGGAGGACCAUCUCCCAAGGCUAAAUACUCCCUAGUGAUCGAUAGUGAACCAGUACCGUGAGGGAAAGGUGAAAAGCACCCCGGAAGGGGAGUGAAAGAGAUCCUGAAACCGUGUGCCUACAAAUAGUCAGAGCCCGUUAACGGGUGAUGGCGUGCCUUUUGUAGAAUGAACCGGCGAGUUACGAUCCCGUGCGAGGUUAAGCUGAAGAGGCGGAGCCGCAGCGAAAGCGAGUCUGAAUAGGGCGUUUAGUACGUGGUCGUAGACCCGAAACCAGGUGAUCUACCCAUGUCCAGGGUGAAGUUCAGGUAACACUGAAUGGAGGCCCGAACCCACGCACGUUGAAAAGUGCGGGGAUGAGGUGUGGGUAGCGGAGAAAUUCCAAUCGAACCUGGAGAUAGCUGGUUCUCCCCGAAAUAGCUUUAGGGCUAGCCUUAAGUGUAAGAGUCUUGGAGGUAGAGCACUGAUUGGACUAGGGGUCCUCAUCGGAUUACCGAAUUCAGUCAAACUCCGAAUGCCAAUGACUUAUCCUUAGGAGUCAGACUGCGAGUGAUAAGAUCCGUAGUCAAAAGGGAAACAGCCCAGACCGCCAGCUAAGGUCCCAAAGUGUGUAUUAAGUGGAAAAGGAUGUGGAGUUGCUUAGACAACUAGGAUGUUGGCUUAGAAGCAGCCACCAUUUAAAGAGUGCGUAAUAGCUCACUAGUCGAGUGACUCUGCGCCGAAAAUGUACCGGGGCUAAAUACACCACCGAAGCUGCGGAUUGAUACCGAAUGGUAUCAGUGGUAGGGGAGCGUUCUAAGGACAGUGAAGUCAGACCGGAAGGACUGGUGGAGUGCUUAGAAGUGAGAAUGCCGGUAUGAGUAGCGAAAGACGGGUGAGAAUCCCGUCCACCGAAUGCCUAAGGUUUCCUGAGGAAGGCUCGUCCGCUCAGGGUUAGUCAGGACCUAAGCCGAGGCCGACAGGCGUAGGCGAUGGACAACAGGUUGAUAUUCCUGUACCACCUCUUUAUCGUUUGAGCAAUGGAGGGACGCAGAAGGAUAGAAGAAGCGUGCGAUUGGUUGUGCACGUCCAAGCAGUUAGGCUGAUAAGUAGGCAAAUCCGCUUAUCGUAAAGGCUGAGCUGUGAUGGGGAAGCUCCUUAUGGAGCGAAGUCUUUGAUUCCCCGCUGCCAAGAAAAGCUUCUAGCGAGAUAAAAGGUGCCUGUACCGCAAACCGACACAGGUAGGCGAGGAGAGAAUCCUAAGGUGUGCGAGAGAACUCUGGUUAAGGAACUCGGCAAAAUGACCCCGUAACUUCGGGAGAAGGGGUGCUUUCUUAACGGAAAGCCGCAGUGAAUAGGCCCAAGCGACUGUUUAGCAAAAACACAGCUCUCUGCGAAGCCGUAAGGCGAAGUAUAGGGGGUGACACCUGCCCGGUGCUGGAAGGUUAAGGAGAGGGGUUAGCGUAAGCGAAGCUCUGAACUGAAGCCCCAGUAAACGGCGGCCGUAACUAUAACGGUCCUAAGGUAGCGAAAUUCCUUGUCGGGUAAGUUCCGACCCGCACGAAAGGUGUAACGAUUUGGGCACUGUCUCAACCAGAGACUCGGUGAAAUUAUAGUACCUGUGAAGAUGCAGGUUACCCGCGACAGGACGGAAAGACCCCGUGGAGCUUUACUGUAGCCUGAU